UUAUAAUCGUGCCGCUGGAAACCUUUGCAACCGUAAGGUUCCACACUGUAGACUGGGCUGUAAACUUCAAAUUAUGAUUUUUAUCCAGGAAACUGAGGAUUAAAAAAUUUAAACUUAUUUAAAUUAAAUAAGUUCUUCUGGCCGAGCCCCAGAGAUGAUAUUAACUGGCAUCAUGAUGACCAGAUCAUGUGCCUGAUUCCAGAGCCCUAGCACUGAAUAGGCAUUCAGCUGAAAUUGAUCAGAGGUUCUGGGAGAUCAUUCUGAGACAGCUAGACAAGUGAAAUAAGGUAACAUAAAUUGUAAAAUGGGUUUUUUCAGCUUUUCUGGACAACAGUGGCCUCACUACUGACUGGUAGGAAUCAUCAAGGAAUUAGAAUUAGAAUUUUAUGACGUCAUAGUGUUUUGCUGUCUGUAUGGAAGGGAGUCAAUGAUAUAAGAAAUGCGCAUAUUACAUUGAGAGAAGUAUUACAUGGAGCGAUUUCUUAUAAGAAGUUCCAGGAACUUCGCCUCUGCAACGGCAGAGAUAUUGGUGUUUCUUAGUUCACAGCUUCAAAACUAAGAUAUAUACCGACGGCUAUAUAUAUAGAGAGAGAGAUAAUAGCGGUGAAAAUAUUUGCUAACGGAAAGAGUCCGGUUCGAGCAAUAAAUAAGUAAAGAGAGUACUUAUUAAGAAGCGCAAGAGGCGCAGUAUUUUUGCGGUGGGUUAUUAUCAAGUGGCAUGCCCCAUUGACUCAUUCCAUCAUCUCAGCGGUACAUGAUAUAUUUGGCAAAUUUAACGCACAAGUAAAUUUUACUGAGAUUAAAAAAUAUAUAUAAUAAUAAAAAGAAAUUUAAAAAAAAGAAGAAGAAGGGAAGAGAAAACUGUAAGUGCUACCAAACUGCUGUAUGUGGACUUUCCCUCACAGGUAAACUCUUACAUUCUUAAGGUUUGCUCUAUGGAACCUAUAGGUUAUACGAUUAAUUGAAUGUCUAGAGAUUUGGCACAUACUAGAACCUUUUCUGUCUGUGCACAGGAAUGCAUAUUUACUUGAUUUUCAUAGCAUGUUAAAUUGAUGAAAACUUUGAAAGUUACAGAAGCUGUAAAAAAAUUUUUUUUUUAAAAGAAGGGAAAAACAUGUAGCAAAGCACAUCCUGUGACACAUGCUAUGGUUUGUACAGGGUGUUCAUAUGUUGGUCCUAAUAUCACAUUUAUGCGACUUAACUAAGGAGAAGGAUGUUCGAACCAAUAUGAUGUAUGGGUUAAAGAAUGUGCUUUCCCAGAAAAAGGUAGUUUUAGUCUCAGACAUUUAGAACAACAGAAAUUUAAUUUGGAGAUAAAGGAGGGAGAGAGAGACCCCUAAAACAAAGAGCGAAGUGCAGUUUUUAGCAGACUGGAAGGCAUUUGUUGAAUGGCAGAGCGAGGCGCAUAAAAGAGAGAAAAAAAUUCAGGCAGGGCCCUGAUCUGUUUCUCAGUGUGCUAAAUUGCAGAAAAACGAUCCCAACCUGGACUCCGCCCCACCGCGACACCCACAGCCAGGAAGGUGGAAGGAACCUGCAGUUUCAGAGGCACCUCCUCAAGAUGAAGCGGCCCAGCCUACGCCACUCCAUCCGAACCUGUCAGAACUGAGAACCAACCCCCACUGAACUAUGCUCCAGCCGUCCUAACUUCACCGGUGGCGUUACACACGAGAUCCCAAGUGAAGGGACCAACAACAUUGCUGCCUGAGGGCUUCAGACCAACAAAAUUGGACAGAGAAGGGACAGUGCACGCCGUGGUAAAUGCCCCAAUGCUAGAAGUGGCCAGAGAAGGAGGCCAUAUGCUAGUUCACAGACCUGGACAUUGGAAGACAUCAGGAGCAGUGUGACGCAUCUGCUGGCGCAAAGUAGGAGGGCGAAAGUUUGGGGAUGAACUUCAGAUAUUCUGCAGAGAAUUCAGACCCACCACUCAUGAACUACAACGACUGCUCAUGGCGAAACUUGGCACGGAUUGGGCCAAGGUUUCACGUGAAUUCCCUGAGAACGAUGUCCGUCUGAUCAACCCACAGUGGGAUGAUGGAGUCAACGCAAGGUACAGAGCACAAAUCAUGGUGCUCCAGCAGAGGCUGACGAACACCUUUCCUGUGCGACUGGACAUGACAAAAAUAGCAAAGUGCAAACAACAAGACUCAGAGACUGUAUAACAGUACCUGUCCAGGCUCACUGAGAUCCAUGACGCAAACUCAGGCUUGGAGAAACCCGACGCUCUGGCAGAUGGGCAGGUGGCCGUCACAGCAUGGGAGGCACAUUUCAGAAACAGCUUUAUGAACGGCAUGAAACCAGAAAUUGCCGCUAUAGUCAAACAACAAUGUAUCGCCUAGGACACCGGAAACCUCACACAAGUGGAGAGGUAUUCAAUCCAUGUGGAGAAGCUCUUACGAGACGCAUAGGACAGAAAGACACAGAAGAGGGGAAAAGACCUCCACACAACCACACUAACCAUGUUACAAGCUGGUAGCGUACAGCCCCAGCGAAUACAACUGGGGGGCAGAGGAAGAGGAGUGGCAUGGAGAGGAAAACCAAAAGGAAACGGACGAGGAAGGCCAGGUGGCAAGCCCCAUAGAUACAACUUCACAUGUUUUAUCUGCGGAGAAGUUGGACAUUUUGCAAGAGACUGUCCAGAGCAGAAGCCGACUGACAGGCAGAGGAAGGGAAAGGGUCGCAGGGGAGCCUGGAGACUAUCUCAGGGAACUCGGGGCACAUGGGGUGCCAACCUAUCAGAGGGCACAAUCACACACUAUGGAUAAUUUAGAGAUGCCAGUCAGCCUACGGUGCAUGUCUCUGGACUGGGGGAGGAAACCGGAGUACCCCGAACAUGCAUGCUCCACACACACAGGGUGGAGCCAGGAUUCGAACCCCCAACUCGUCUCAGAAAACUUCACCAUAUCAAUAAUUGCACAUACGUUUGAUAUGUUUAGGUGGAGCGUUCAUGACAUAAGUCCCGGUACGAGCUGUCUUACUAUAGAAACGAUAGAAGGACAUUAAUAUAAACAGUAACUGGAACUACCAUCAGAGCUGCUAUUACAGAAAAUGAAGCCACACCUUCUGACCAAUCAGAAUCGAGCAUUCAACAGG
Ictalurus punctatus (channel catfish) is the source of this 3090-nucleotide long non-coding RNA. RefSeq lists it as uncharacterized. The transcript is spliced from 2 exons. NCBI's taxonomy places the organism in Eukaryota, Metazoa, Chordata, Actinopteri, Siluriformes, Ictaluridae. The record is from RefSeq and is a predicted model, not a curated record.